This 497-nucleotide ribosomal RNA is filed under the name uncultured bacterium. RNAcentral's name for it is "partial 16S ribosomal RNA". It matches the Rfam family "Bacterial small subunit ribosomal RNA", at positions 28 to 507 of the family's 1533-position model. The record is from RNAcentral.
GAUGAACGCUGGCGGCGUGCCUAAUACAUGCAAGUCGAGCGAACAGACGAGGAGCUUGCUCCUCUGACGUUAGCGGCGGACGGGUGAGUAACACGUGGAUAACCUACCUAUAAGACUGGGAUAACUUCGGGAAACCGGAGCUAAUACCGGAUAAUAUAUUGAACCGCAUGGUUCAAUAGUGAAAGACGGUUUUGCUGUCACUUAUAGAUGGAUCCGCGCCGCAUUAGCUAGUUGGUAAGGUAACGGCUUACCAAGGCAACGAUGCGUAGCCGACCUGAGAGGGUGAUCGGCCACACUGGAACUGAGACACGGUCCAGACUCCUACGGGAGGCAGCAGUAGGGAAUCUUCCGCAGUGGGCGAAAGCCUGACGGAGCAACGCCGCGUGAGUGAUGAAGGUCUUCGGAUCGUAAAACUCUGUUAUUAGGGAAAAACAAAUGUGUAAGUAACUAUGCACGUCUUGACGGUACCUAGUCAGAAAGCCACGGCUAACUACGUG